UACGGGGGGGGCAAGCGUUGUUCGGAAUUACUGGGCGUAAAGGGUUUGUAGGUGGCUUGCUAAGUCAGACGUGAAAUCCCUCAGCUUAACUGGGGAACUGCGUCUGAUACUGGCGAGCUUGAGGGCAGGAGAGGAACGCGGAAUUCCAGGUGUAGCGGUGAAAUGCGUAGAUAUCUGGAGGAACACCGGUGGCGAAGGCGGCGUUCUGGACUGCAUCUGACACUGAAAGACGAAAGCCAGGGGAGCAAACGGG
Molecule: ribosomal RNA, 253 nt
Filed under: uncultured bacterium
Lineage: Bacteria
Description: partial 16S ribosomal RNA
Rfam family: Bacterial small subunit ribosomal RNA
Source: RNAcentral